UAUAUAAUAAUAUCUUUUAUAUAUUAAAUUGCAAAUUUAAAGAUUUAAAAUAAUUAUAUAA
RNAcentral lists this transfer RNA (61 nucleotides) under Xylocopa appendiculata. RNAcentral describes it as "tRNA-Cys". The record is from RNAcentral. Lineage: Eukaryota; Metazoa; Arthropoda; Insecta; Hymenoptera; Apidae.